GACAAAUAGAGAUUAACACACACAUACACACACCACUGUCCCAGGAGCUAAUAUUCUGCACAUAGAGCCAGAAAGCAACCAGGAAUUAAGCAACAAAAUAGGCCCACAAAAUAAAGUGCUUGUCAAAUACCAGGCGAAAUAAACUACUAUCUUUUCGAGACCAGUGCAGGGGAGUAGGCUGAGGCAACAGGAAGUGCACCGAGGGUGAAGGAUUCACAUGGUCGCCUCCAAACCUGGUUUUCCGGCCACCGUUCCCCUGCACCCGAGGGUGUCUGCACUGAGCCAGGGGCUGGGAAGCAGGAAGUGUCAUUCCAUCCAGAAGCGUGCGCACUGAGGUCCCGUACCAGCUGUGACCUUGACUUUCACUUCACUUCUAUCUUCUCCUGUAAACUACUGUAACUUCUCUGCCCAGUUCCUCUGUGAGCGACCGUAUGGCUUCCUGGCAUACCCCCGCGAGAGCGCGCCAGUCCCUUCCGGAGGAUGCACGGUAUUUGGGGGAGAACACCAGUACUGCCCGGGAACUGAAGGAAGAGGUCCUAGUCCCUCUGCCCUGCAAACCUGGCUUCCUGGCCUCGGGCGGGUCACCUCGUGGCUGGAUGAAGUUCUUUCAUCACUAAAAUGAACAGCACUACGCUGGACACAACAGAACCAACCGUCUCCUCCCUCCUCUCCCCUGCAGGGAUGCCAGGUGUGGUAGCAGGAACAGUGGGUGUUCCGUCUGCUGACCUCAGAGCUGCUCUCCCUCUACUAAGCUGUAAAACUCCUUAUAAGUUAGGACCUUGCUUUAUUUCUUUGUUCCCCUAGCCCAGGGCCUAGGAGAGAUUAUGCCUGCAAUCAAUGAUAGUUGCAAAGACAUUUAAAGUAUAAAGCUUUCCAUGACUGUAAGAUAUUAUUUUUAUCUUUUUCACCCUAAAUAGCCCUUGCCAAGGCCUUUCAUAGAUAGUGUGGGAAACUCCAGAACUGAAAAAUCCAGCCCUUGUAAAACCUGUUUUGCUGUUUUCUCUUUUAAAAGAACAUGUUGCCUUUAUUUUCUUUUUUUAAGCCAAGAAUGAAAUAAAAGCUCUUUCUCAAGUCCUCAA
This is a long non-coding RNA of Felis catus (domestic cat), 1079 nucleotides long. RefSeq lists it as uncharacterized. The record is from RefSeq and is a predicted model, not a curated record. The transcript is spliced from 3 exons. NCBI's taxonomy places the organism in Eukaryota, Metazoa, Chordata, Mammalia, Carnivora, Felidae.